Molecule: non-coding RNA, 116 nt
Organism: Sporisorium reilianum SRZ2
Lineage: Eukaryota; Fungi; Basidiomycota; Ustilaginomycetes; Ustilaginales; Ustilaginaceae
Source: Rfam
UCCCGAUUAGCUCAGUCGGUAGAGCGUCAGACUUUUAGCACGAAGUCUCCGAGAAACAACUUACUCGGAAUUGUAGUUUAAUCUGAAUGUCAGGGGUUCGAGCCCCCUAUUGGGAG